Molecule: non-coding RNA, 3012 nt
Organism: Podarcis lilfordi (Lilford's wall lizard)
Lineage: Eukaryota; Metazoa; Chordata; Lepidosauria; Squamata; Lacertidae
Source: the annotation of a GenBank genome assembly
AUCAAAACAAACAAUUAUGCCAAAAAAGCUACACAGCUAAGCAAUAUGUUGACUGUAUAUUUGCUCCCAACUGAGUGAUGGGAUUCAGGCGGUUCAUUGCUCAUUUGUGUUUGUAUGUGUUUUGUAGUGUGGAAGAGGUAGAUUGGGAUAACUGGAAGAAAGAAUUGGGAACCCUCAAGGAGGAUCCUACAGACUCAGACCACAGUGAGAUGGUGUCAAAAGGUAAAUAAAGAGUAAAACCCAACUGCAGACAUGGGUAACCUAUGAUCGUCCUUAUGUUAUUAAACUCCAGAUCCCAUCAGUCACAGCUAGUAUGUCCCGUGGUUGGGGUGGUGGAAAUUGUGGUCCAACAAAAUUUGGAUGGCCACAAAUUCCCCAUCCCUCUAUUACUCAAAAGGUUAGCUUACCUUCCUGCCUUCAGAGCCAUUAAUGCACCAUCAGGGAAACCUCUGUGGCACGAGAGGUCAUUGGACAGCCCCACAGGGCCAUGCCAGCUGGUGGUGAUGUUGCUAUGUCAAAUCAGGAAACUGGUCCUAGGGGAAAGUCUCAUAUCUGCCCAUCUCAGCAGCUGAGUGAAUUCAUCUGGCAAAAAGAAAAGAAAAGGGGGGGAAAAGGAAAUUUUAAAAAACAACAAUAAUAUUCUUGAAGUCAUACCCACUCUCUCUACACUUACUAGAGUUUCUGCCCUUGAGAAAUCUUUUUAGUAGACCCUGAAAAAAGAGAUUUCAAAGUUCCUUGCUUGCAGCAUCAAAUGCUGCUGAAUAGGAGUCAAAUAUACAAGGCAGAUAUAUAGAGAUAGAUAGAGACAGAGAUAGAGAUAGAGAUAGAGAUAGAGAUAGAGAUAGAGAUAGAGAUAGAGAUAGAGAUUCAAUCCCAUAUUCCCUGAUCAUAGGAACCUGACUUUAGUCUGACUUGAUAUAUCUGUCCAUGUAACCCAUCUAUAUUCUGACCAGCAGUGGCCCUCCAGGAUAUAACAGAGAGAGAGGUCUUAACCACCACCUGUUUCCUGAUCAUUCUAUCAGGAGAUGUCAGGGAUUGACAUCUGCAGUAUUUCCACUAAAAAUGAAAGAAGGUUCUAGUCCUCAUGGUUCUGAACAAAGAGUUGACAUAGAAGCACACGAAACUGCCUUAGACCAUUGUUUCAUCUAGCUCAACAUUAUCUACUAAAUGAGUAGCAGCGCCUCUCCUGGCAACAGGCAAAGGGAUGCUAGGCAUUUUCAUGUUUUUUAAAAGUGUUUUAUUAUAAUAAUAAGAGAAUGAACACCAUAAAAUAACAAUGAGGAAAAUGCAAUUCGGGGGAAGGUAUAUGUGCUCUCUUUUACUGCAAACUGUUUGAGGCACCAUCAUUCCAGACAAAAGUAUACAUAGAGUUUUACACUACAAGCAUCAGCGGGCAUGCAGUGACAGGCAGAAAGAUUUCAGGAGAUGAUGCCAGGGUCUGAAUUCUACAUACGAAGCAGGUGUUCUGCCGCCCAGCUGUGGCCCCUCCUAACCAUAGCUGUCAAUGUUUCCCUUUUUUAAAGGGAAAUUCCCUUAUUCUGAAUAGGAUUCCUCGCAAGAAAAGGGAAAAGUUGACAGCUAUGCUCCUAACCCAUUUGCCUGGGCACAACUGCUUAUCUGUUUGAGGACUUGCCUGUCCCUGCUUGACAGUCUUGACAGAUGCUUCCCCCUUCUUCUGUUUCCUGUUCCAGGGAAGCGUCUAUGGAGCUGGGUAUCACAGGGGAUGACAAACAUGGCGGCGUCAGAAGCAGAGGAGGAGCAAAUACCCUUGCGUGACAGAAGUCAGUGAGUGAGAGAAAGCCACAAGGAAGACUCGGUGAAUUCUUCGGGCCACAUUAACAGCGACGUUCCUUAAGCUGUGAAGUGCAAGAGCUUAGCUGGAGCAGCCUGGCCACCGUUAAGGCAGUGACUCAGACCCAAGUUCCAUGUCAUUUACAGAUUUGUGCUGACAGUCUUGCCUUAGAUGAAGGAUUAUUUAGUCUCCUGUUGAAGAGUCUCAGCCUAAGAACCGAGGAAGAGCCUGGCCGCAGGAUCAGGCCCAUCUAGUCCAGCAUCUUCUUCUCACAGUGGCCAACCCUAAAGCAGGGCAUGAGUGCAAAAACACUCUGCCCACCUGAGAUUGCCAGCAACAUUUAUUCAGACGCAUCCUGCUUCUGAUAGUUUAGGGAAAACAUAGCCAUUGAUAUCCUCCAUGAAUUUCCCUAAUCCUUAUUUAAAUCCAUCCAGGUUUGUGCCCAUCACUACCUCUUGUGGGAGCAAAUUGGCUGUUUUUUAGUCGACACCCUGCAAAUGAAAAUGGACUCCACACCUUCUCUGACCCCCUGGCCUCCAUUUUUGUUUUCACUUCAUUGUGUAACAACCUAAUUCACACUUCCUGAAACAAUCACGGGUUGAAGGACAGCUGUCCUAUGAAAUUUGCACUUCUCUGAAUUUUCUGAUGUUGGUUGACGUAUGUGAAAUUGGGCAAUACAGAAAGAAGCACCUUCGUGUCCUUGAUCCUAUUAAAGACUUCUUCAAAAUAAAAUUCCAAAGGGACUGUCUGGCAAAUAAAGGAAUGAAGAAAAUUUGUUUUGCAUUUAAAUUGUACACUUUACUUAGUACUGAACUGUCAAGCUGUAGGCAGAAAAAACACACACCAGACUAGCACCUGAGGUUGUAUCUGCCCUCAUGUUCAAACCACAUCCAAGUUACAUGUAUUGUGCAGAAAACUAAACUCUACUGAGCGUAUUUCAGGGGUUCCUUAAGUCAAGGAAUUGAAACUCAGGAGAAAAGAAAGGCCACUAUACAUUUUCAAUAGCUAAGGGAGAAGCCUCAUGAAACUAGAAGUAGGAAAACCCCAUUUUGUAGUUUCAUGCAGCAGGGUAAUUCUAACCCAUCCUCUAGAGGAGCCCUAAAACUCCUCAUGAGGUAAUUAAAUGAAUUUAUUUAUUUCAUUCUGAAGCUAUUUAGAAAGACCAGCUGCCUUUGCAGAUGCCUCCACAUACUGAUUAAUUUUAUUUCAUAAAAACUAUA